UACGUAGGGUGCGAGCGUUGUCCGGAAUUAUUGGGCGUAAAGAGCUCGUAGGCGGUCUGUCGCGUCUGCUGUGAAAACCCGAGGCUCAACCUCGGGCCUGCAGUGGGUACGGGCAGACUAGAGUGCGGUAGGGGAGAAUGGAACUCCUGGUGUAGCGGUGGAAUGCGCAGAUAUCAGGAAGAACACCGAUGGCGAAGGCAGUUCUUUGGGCCGUAACUGACGCUGAGGAGCGAAAGCGUGGGGAGCGAACAGG
Molecule: ribosomal RNA, 253 nt
Filed under: uncultured bacterium
Lineage: Bacteria
Description: partial 16S ribosomal RNA
Rfam family: Bacterial small subunit ribosomal RNA
Source: RNAcentral